RNAcentral lists this ribosomal RNA (483 nucleotides) under uncultured bacterium. RNAcentral describes it as "partial 16S ribosomal RNA". It matches the Rfam family "Bacterial small subunit ribosomal RNA", at positions 30 to 506 of the family's 1533-position model. The record is from RNAcentral.
AUUGAACGCUGGCGGCAGGCCUAACACAUGCAAGUCGAGCGGAUGAAGGGAGCUUGCUCCUGGAUUCAGCGGCGGACGGGUGAGUAAUGCCUAGGAAUCUGCCUGGUAGUGGGGGAUAACGUCCGGAAACGGGCGCUAAUACCGCAUACGUCCUGAGGGAGAAAGUGGGGGAUCUUCGGACCUCACGCUAUCAGAUGAGCCUAGGUCGGAUUAGCUAGUUGGUGGGGUAAAGGCCUACCAAGGCGACGAUCCGUAACUGGUCUGAGAGGAUGAUCAGUCAACCGGGAACUGAGAAAGGGUCCAAAUUCCUAGGGGAGGGAGGAGUGGGAAAUUUUGGACAAUGGGCGAAAGCCUGAUCCAGCCAGGCCGGGUGUGUGAAGAAGGUUUUCGGAUUGUAAAGCAUUUUAAGUGGGGAGGAAGGGCAGUAAGUUAAUACCUUGCUGUUUUGACGUUACCAACAGAAAAAGCACCGGCAAACUUCGU